GGAUGAAGGAAGCAGUAGGCUAACCUGGAUCCACACUUGCUAAAUUUCCAAGAGGAUUUUUGUGGGAGAGGUGGAGCUGCUAGUGGAAUGUCCCAGAUCUUUGGAGGCAGCCUGCAAGACUGCUGGAAAGGACAGAGGAAUACCUGCCUCUACCACAUAACAUUUUCUGGUGGAUGGGUAGCAUCUUUGAAUAAGGAAUCAAAGAAAUUGCAAGGAUUGGUAAAAGAUUUUCAAAGAAAAUUUUGAAGGAAAGCUGCUGUAAAUCAGAGAAGUCUCAGUCUUGAAACACAGAGAUGGAAGUAAUAUAGCAGAUUUCUGCAUCUACACAUCUUAUGUAAAAGCUAUGAAAGAACAAGCAGUUGUCAGCAAGAGGCUGGUGAAAUUUGAGGAUUCAAUCGAACUCUGAGACUGCAGGGCACUGGCGGCUGAGUUAAAGAUUGGGGGUUUUCUUAAAGCUGAGUAAGACCAAACCUUGUCUAGGAAACUCCUGCUGGUUGACCUCAGUGUCCUUCAUGGGUCUGCUGGGCACAGACUAACGUUGCAGAACCUUCCUCUGAACAGCAGGCCUGAAUCUCUUUAUUCCAAGGUUCACUUGGCACAGCAGGCAGGCAGGGCUGGAACUGCCUGGUUCUCAGGCUGCUUUGACUCGUGCGUGGGGGCAGCUGUGGUGGGAUCAGAUGGCUCUGUGCCACGUAUGGACUAGUGCAGUGUAGAGACGUCCUGUGCCACACUACGUUGUCCUGUGCCACACUGCGUUCCUGCUGCAUCCUCUGUGCCGGCACUGGAGGGAUGUGAUGAAGGAAUAGUAGGGUAAAAGAGCUUUUUACAAGUCAGUAUUAUUCUCCAGCCUGUUUGAGCCUUCCAGGCAAAAUGCCAAGGGAAGAGAAUUAAGUCUGGUGCUUGUCUGUGAAUUUAGCUCAGAAAUUACUUGUGAAGGGAACCUCACUACUGCUGACCUAUUAUGGUGCACAUGGGAAGUUGACACCUUAGAGAAUUCAUUGACCAGCCUGUUUGUUGCAGACUGUUUCAUUCAUGAGCUAUUGAGAGACUGAAAUGGCUUUUAAAACAAAGAUUAUUGAGUAAUAAGCUGGAAGUUGUUCAUGACUGGGACAUAUCUGGCAGUUCUGCCAUGACACUGAAGCUAGAA
Long non-coding RNA from Lepidothrix coronata (blue-crowned manakin), 1147 nucleotides. RefSeq lists it as uncharacterized. NCBI's taxonomy places the organism in Eukaryota, Metazoa, Chordata, Aves, Passeriformes, Pipridae. The transcript is spliced from 4 exons. The record is from RefSeq and is a predicted model, not a curated record.